GUGGAUUUUUAGCCCUGGUGGGUAGCUUCCCGGAAACGAAAGUCUUCCGGUUCCGGGGGAAGUAUGGUGGCAAAGCUGAAACUUAAAGGAAUUGACGGAAGGGCACCACCAGGAGUGGAGCCUGCGGCUUAAUUUGACUCAACACGGGGAAACUCACCCGGCCCGGACACCGUAAGGAUUGACAGAUUGAUAGCUCUUUCAUGAUUCGGUGGUUGGUGGUGCAUGGCCGUUCUUAGUUCGUGGAUCGAUUUGUCUGGUUUAUUCCGAUAACGAGCGAGACUCUAGCCUACUAAAUAGUAACGAGAUUAUCAAUGUCUCAGUUGCUUCUUAGAGGGAUUUUCGGUGUUUAGCCGCACGAGAUUGAGCAAUAACAGGUCUGUGAUGCCCUUAGAUGUCCGGGGCUGCACGCGCGCUACACUGGCGAAAUCAGCGUGCUGUAUCCAUUCUCGAAAGGGAUUGGUAAACCCAUGAAAAUUUGCCGUGCUUGGG
This 489-nucleotide ribosomal RNA is filed under the name Cephalobidae environmental sample. RNAcentral describes it as "SSU rRNA". It matches the Rfam family "Eukaryotic small subunit ribosomal RNA", at positions 1060 to 1575 of the family's 1831-position model. The record is from RNAcentral. Lineage: Eukaryota; Metazoa; Nematoda; Chromadorea; Rhabditida; Cephalobidae.